UAUAUUUGCAGAAUUCAAAUUAAUACAUAAUAAUUAUUAAAUAAUAUUGGAAUG
Molecule: non-coding RNA, 54 nt
Submitted as: unclassified sequences
Source: Rfam